This 253-nucleotide ribosomal RNA is filed under the name uncultured bacterium. RNAcentral describes it as "partial 16S ribosomal RNA". It matches the Rfam family "Bacterial small subunit ribosomal RNA", at positions 524 to 776 of the family's 1533-position model. The record is from RNAcentral.
UACGUAGGGGGCAAGCGUUGUCCGGAUUCAUUGGGCGUAAAGGGCGUGCAGGCGGUCUGUUAAGUGCAGGGUGAAAGCUCCCGGCUCAACUGGGAGAGGUCCUUGCAUACUGGCGGACUUGAGGGGGGUAGAGGAAAGUGGAAUUCCCGGUGUAGUGGUGAUAUGCGUAGAUAUCGGGAGGAACACCUGUGGCGAAGGCGGCUUUCUGGGCCCUACCUGACGCUGAGACGCGAAAGCGUGGGGAGCGAACCGG